UGGCACGGCAUUAUUAAUGUUCUCUGCUUAUAGUGAAGAUUAUAUAUAGACCGUGCCGAAAGAAAACGCUUUUUCACUCAAUGUUAAUAGUUGAAUGGAAUGGCAGCGGCCAGACAACCGUAGGGCAGGAUCCACAGAUGAAGGGCUUUCUGUGCGCUUUGUCUACUAAUUCCUUGCCCACAUUU
This is a small nucleolar RNA of Cryptomeria japonica (Japanese cedar), 185 nucleotides long. RefSeq annotates it as small nucleolar RNA snoR143. The transcript has a single exon. The record is from RefSeq and is a predicted model, not a curated record. Lineage: Eukaryota; Viridiplantae; Streptophyta; Pinopsida; Cupressales; Cupressaceae.